Molecule: long non-coding RNA, 562 nt
Filed under: Cyanistes caeruleus (blue tit)
Lineage: Eukaryota; Metazoa; Chordata; Aves; Passeriformes; Paridae
Description: lncRNA (ENSCCEG00000015714.1)
Source: RNAcentral
CCUCAUGUUCCUUUAACCAGAGCUAGAAAACACGAGGUGUUUUCUGUAUAGAUCUUGUCAAUGGAAUUUCUGGUUAUUUUUCAACUUAUUAUUUAACAUGAGAUUAUAUUUUUGUAUUUUAUUCUGACAGCUGAUGAAAUGUUAUCAGAGGACAGUCUUUAACUUUUACAAUUCUGUCAGCAUCAAAGUGGAUCCAUCAGUUGGAGUUGGACAGCUUGAGCUUUAUGGCAAAUUGAGAGGAAUCUUUCAGUUGUGAUGACUUGGACCAAAUGGUUCAGUGCAUUUUCCAGCUAGCAUUCAGGUGACUUGUGUUAAGGUCUUGGUUGCGAAGUUACACUUUAAGGUCAGACUUAAAUCCAUUAUUCAUCACCAACUCCAGAUCCUGGAAUUACUUCAUCAAGAUAGAGUUCCUCCAUUCCUACCUGUAAAGGAACAAUGUAAUAACACUGCAGAGCUGAGGGACUGGGAUUAUAGACCUGAACCCAUUACCUUUGCAAUUAAGCUUCUUGAAUUACUUAGUUUUAAUUUCUGAUAAAAUUUAAAAGAUUGUGACAGACUAAAG